UGACUUACCUGUCAGGGGUGAUACGAUGAUCAAGAAGGUGGUUUGCCCAGGGCGAGGCUCGGCCACUGCACUCAGAUCUCACCCCUGCAAUUCCCUCAAAUGUAGGAAUCUCGACUGCACAAUUUCUGGUAGUGGGGGAAUGCGUUCGCGCCCUCCCCUA
Small nuclear RNA from Alosa sapidissima (American shad), 160 nucleotides. RefSeq annotates it as U1 spliceosomal RNA. The transcript has a single exon. NCBI's taxonomy places the organism in Eukaryota, Metazoa, Chordata, Actinopteri, Clupeiformes, Clupeidae. The record is from RefSeq and is a predicted model, not a curated record.